This 775-nucleotide ribosomal RNA is filed under the name uncultured Neocallimastigales. Its description in RNAcentral is "partial large subunit ribosomal RNA". It matches the Rfam family "Eukaryotic large subunit ribosomal RNA", at positions 20 to 639 of the family's 3401-position model. Lineage: Eukaryota; Fungi; Neocallimastigomycota; Neocallimastigomycetes; Neocallimastigales. The record is from RNAcentral.
UCAUCACUACGCUAGAUGCAUAUCAAUAAGCGGAGGAAAAGAAACUAACAAGGAUUCCCUUAGUAACGGCGAGUGAAGCGGGAAGAGCUCAAAUUUGAAAUCUUCAAGGUUCUACCUUGACGAAUUGUAGUUUAUAGAAGUGUUUUCUGUUAGAGGAGUAGUAAAAGUUCUUUGGAAUAGGACAUCAUAGAGGGUGAGAAUCCCGUAUUUGGUCAUUCUUUCUAGCUUUGUGAUACACUUUCAACGAGUCGGAUUGUUUGGGAAUGCAGUCCAAAAUGGGUGGUAAAUUUCAUCUAAAGCUAAAUAUUGGCGAGAGACCGAUAGCGAACAAGUACCGUGAGGGAAAGAUGAAAAGAACUUUGAAAAGAGAGUUAAACAGUACGUGAAAUUGUCAAAAGGGAAGCGUUUGACACCAGUGUUGUUUAUUCGAAAAUCAAUUCAAGAAUGUUUUAUUUUGAGUAAGUAUUGACUUCAUCAGCUUGCUUCUUUCUUUCUGAAAUUUAUUAAUGCACUUUUCAGCUAACAAGUCAACAUCAAUUUCUUUUGUUGUAAAAGGGUAUGAGGAAGGUGGCUUUCUCUUCGGCGCAAGUGUUUAUAGCCUUGUAUCUCUGCAAUCGGAGAGAUUGAGGUCUGCAGCGUAGAUCCUUCGGGGUUAGAUACAUUGGUGCUAAGCUAUAGCCUUGUAUAGACAACUUGUUGACUAUGCUCAGUCAUGUAGCUUACUCGCUGAUGCUAUUUUACCUACGCUUAGGAUGUUGACACACGCGCGUGCUCG